UGAUAUAAAAGAAGAAUUCUGUAAACACAACAUCAAGUGAUCAAACUAUGAAAAAACAAUAACCAAGCAGUUUGAAGUUACACAAACAAACACGAAUGCAAACCCGACCAAAAAUGAACGUUAAUCUACUCUCCCCAAUUUCAACAAACCUUAUAUACAACAUUUCCACUAUCUUGUGAUAUACUUUAAAAUUUCCCAUUUCAAAGUCCUAUGAGAAAACAGUAACAAAGCAAUUUGAAUUUCCACCAUCUUUCUUCUUUUUUUAAUAAAAAACAUCCCAAAUUUCCUCAGAACCCAAAUACAGAAAUAGCAAAGCCAAAUACUGAAAAUACUGAAAUUCCUAUACAUACAAAUACUAAGUGAAAUAGAANNNNNNNNNNNNNNNNNNNNCUGAAAUUCCUAUACAUACAAAUACUAAGUGAAAUAGAAGCUUCUCAUAGAGAGAGGGGCAGAAACAUCAAUUGAUCGAAUCAGGAACUCACCUGAAGUUGAAUUUCUGGAAGACGAAAAGUUUGGCGUAAAUUCCAACCCUGAUUAUGACCGAUGCUCCUCCUCCUCACAUCAAAAACCCAAAAACCCAGAACCACCUCCCUUGUCCUUGCUGAUGACAAACCCAAUAUUACACCUUAAACCCCUGCAUCAUUGAAACCCCAAAUCAUUGACAUACAAAGAUUGAAAGUAAACUCAAGAAACUCUUUCAGAAAACCCAGCAAAUAAAUCCUAAAUCGAAGAAAAGCAAACAUGAUCACGACAUGCACAAAGUAAAUUACCCAAAUUCGUGAAACCAGAAUGCAAAGGAAGAGGGGGAUUGAGAAAAAGACCCGAUCUAAAUCGAAAUCUACCAAAUUUAAGGAUCCGAAACUCAUAUGCCCACAAAAUAAUUGCAUGUAUCAACAUUUUUCUCUCAGUUUAUCCACAAUCA
Molecule: long non-coding RNA, 922 nt
Filed under: Fragaria vesca (wild strawberry)
Lineage: Eukaryota; Viridiplantae; Streptophyta; Magnoliopsida; Rosales; Rosaceae
Description: long non-coding RNA (FVES_LNC002100)
Source: RNAcentral